RNAcentral lists this ribosomal RNA (504 nucleotides) under uncultured Desulfobulbus sp. RNAcentral describes it as "bacterial SSU rRNA". It matches the Rfam family "Bacterial small subunit ribosomal RNA", at positions 885 to 1382 of the family's 1533-position model. Lineage: Bacteria; Pseudomonadati; Thermodesulfobacteriota; Desulfobulbia; Desulfobulbales; Desulfobulbaceae. The record is from RNAcentral.
GCCAGCCCGCUCAGAAACUCAAAGGAAGUUGACGGGGCCCGGCACAAGCGGUGGAGUAUGUGGUUAAUUCGAUGCAACGCGAAGAACCUUACCUGGUCUUGACAUCCCGGAGACCCUUAGGAAACUAGGGGUGCUUCCAUCUGGAAGAAUCUGGAGACAGGUGCUGCAUGGCUGUCGUCAGCUCGUGUCGUGAGAUGUUGGGUUAAGUCCCGCAACGAGCGCAACCCUUGCCUUUAGUUGCCAGCAGUUCGGCUGGGCACUCUAAAGGGACUGCCGGUGUUAAACCGGAGGAAGGUGGGGAUGACGUCAAGUCCUCAUGGCCUUUAUGACCAGGGCUACACACGUACUACAAUGGCCGAUACAAAGGGCAGCGACACUGCGAGGUGAAGCCAAUCCCGUAAAAUCGGUCUCAGUCCGGAUUGGAGUCUGCAACUCGACUCCAUGAAGUUGGAAUCGCUAGUAAUCGUGGAUCAGCAUGCCACGGUGAAUACGUUCCCGGGCCUU